This is a long non-coding RNA of Salvia hispanica, 724 nucleotides long. RefSeq lists it as uncharacterized. The record is from RefSeq and is a predicted model, not a curated record. Lineage: Eukaryota; Viridiplantae; Streptophyta; Magnoliopsida; Lamiales; Lamiaceae.
UCAAACCUCUGCAACAAGAUAUCAAAUCUUGAAAAAGGUUGCCUAUAUCCAACUUGCCAUACAAGGCUAAUAUAUCUAUAAAUAGAAACAAAAUUCUUUUCUUUCUUCCUCUCGAUCACCUUCACAAUACUCCUACAAAGUUACCUUGAAACUUAUUCACAAACAAAAUCAGCCUUGUACAACAUCAAAUUAACUUACUAGUGAAGAUAGAGUAAGAUACCCAAAAUCCAUCACAAACUUGGAAGAUAUUUUAGGCAGUUAAGCCUUCCACAAGUAAAACCUCCCCAUGUUAAAACCCCCUCCACUUGCACAACAACUUGCAAGAGAAGAGUCAGUACUUUAUAUAAACCCCAAAUAUUUCCAUUUUAAGCAACACAUCGCUGUCAAACACAUUCUCUUCAUACCACAUCACUCACAUAGGAUAGAGUAGUACGAGGAAGAAGAGUUGAAGAGGAAGAAGAGUUGAAGAUAAUUGUAGGAUGAAGCCUACAAUCAACAACACGUUUUCCACCUAUCAUCAAGGUUAAGCGGUGGCGACGAGGGGCGAUGUUGAGCAAGGAUGGCGAAUGUGUUUCCGUUUGAUAAAUGCUUGGAUGCAUCGUGUCUAAAUACACGGUGUCAUUCUCUCUUGACUCUUCCGCUGCAAUGUAAAUAACGAGCUUAUGUUCCUUUGUGUCAUGCACUCUGAUAUAUUUUGCCAGUUAUUCCAAUUUAAUUUCAUUCA